This 66-nucleotide transfer RNA is filed under the name Colaspidema barbarum. RNAcentral's name for it is "tRNA-Glu". The record is from RNAcentral. Lineage: Eukaryota; Metazoa; Arthropoda; Insecta; Coleoptera; Chrysomelidae.
AUUUAUAUAGUUUAAUAAAACCUUACAUUUUCAUUGUAAAAUUAGAUACCUUUUAUCUUAUAAAUA